UCUCGAAGGAGAGGGGGCGGCCGCGCGGGUCGGUAGGGGUCCGGCGCCGCCGCGGCGGCUGUGCCCCUCGGCCUCUCGCCGUGUGAGCGCCCUUCGGAGGCCUGACUUUUCCCCUCCCCUGCCAGGCUUUUUCCGGGCUUUCCAGUGGUCCGCGGCGGGCUGGGGUCUCGAGUCGUGGCACCCGGGGGCAGCUUCGCGACUCUCCUUGGCCACACCUGGCAAGGAUGCCGUGCCUCCAGAUGGUGGGGAGCAGCGGCCUGGAGCGAGCGCGCGCGGCUCCACGCCGCCCCAUCCCACACCCGCGAUAUGGCCCUGGGGCAGCCCUCCGGAUCGCCCGGGAAGAGGGCCAAGGCUGGACAAAGGGAACAGCCCCGCCACAAGCCCACCUGGUGCAGCGGGUCAGCACCAGAUCGCAAGCCCUCUACCAGAGCCUGAAGCCAAGGGUCAGCGGCCCCCUACCGAGACCCAGCACACCGGCCAGAAGACCCUGCCCCCAACACCAGGCCUCUGCAGCUCCCUGAGACCCCGAGCAGGGUCUCCCCAGGCCGCUGCACCUAGUGGGGGAGGCCUGGGGGCGAAGGUUUGGAGAGAGGCACCCCUGGCCCUACCCCUGCCUUCUACCCCCUCCCCCGGCAGGGAGGGCCCUGGGCUCAGACUCCUGCCCAGCUUUGUGGGGGACUCAGGGGGCAGAAAGUGACAGUGAUCCAGGGACCCCCGCGUCCUCACCCCGAGCUCCCUGGGGCCUCGACCAGCUUUCUCACACCGGUUUCCCGGGGAAGCUGAGGUCGCUGCGGCCGCUCUGCCCGAGGGGUAGGGAUGGGACAGUGGUCAGAGGAUACCAUGCUCUACGGUGGCCCAGGUCUCCACUGCCAGGUCUUCUGGGCCAGAGAGCAGCCAGGUGACCAUUCCACCUGCCCACUCCAGAGAGGAGCUGGGCAGAAACGGGACUGUUCAGAGCUUUUGCAGCUGGUGGCGGGUAGGGGAGAGAAUCCAGUUAGAUCCAGCCUGAGGCCUCCCUGCGGAGCCUGAUACCCAUGCCCUUAGCCUGUUCUGGGGCUGGGGGCUCACCAGGCUGAGCUCUUCCUGGUCUGGCAGCUCCUGGCUAGGAGGAAGGGCCAGGCAUGGCGUUGCCAGCUUUGCUGCUCCCCCACCUGGGCAUUUUCUCUGUGCAGGGCAUCUUUGGGCAAAGAGCAGGGGAGGGGAGGGGGAGGGCUGUGCCCUACGUGUCCCUGUGCAGGAUCUGCUGAGCUGCCGCAGGAUUGGGGAGGGCAGAUGUGAGAAAGCUCUGCUUCCCAGCUGAGGGUUCUGGGCUGGUGAAGCAAACUGUCCCCAGAGAUCACGGGGGACCCCCACCCUUCACCCCACAUCAGGCCCCAUACCCACCUCUGCAGCUGCCCCUGCCAGUGGCCAGCGGGGUCGCCGUCUGUUGUCCUCCGAAGGCCCAGUCCCAGGGCUUAGCUCUGUGGAGGGGCUGGAGCUCCCUCUGCCACCAGCCACAGCCUCUGAGGAAGGUGGAUGGAUCCUGGGCCCCUUCCCCUGGCCCCAUAGAGACAGCCCAUCUCAGAUCCUGGACCUACCAGCCCUGAGAUCCCCUAGCCAGAGCCCCCGACAGCUCCCUGCCCAGAAGUAGGAGCUAAUGGGGUUUGCAGGAGCAUCUGGGGCUGCUGUCGCUCCUGCCCCAUUAGGGAAGGUGAGGGGGAAGUCAAGGUCAGUGCCCACUUUCCCCAGGGAGCCGAGCGUGGCAUGAGUGGCCUCCCUCCCACCGGAAAGGGCACGUGGGCAAGACCUCAAAGACCAGAUGGCCCACCUUUAAGCUGCUGCCCACCCACCAGGGUAGCUCCCUCACUGCGCAGAGACCCUCCUUCUGGCUGGAGCCAGCUUCCUAGGCAAUUGCACUGGAAACCAGAGGAUGGAGCCCCGACUGUGCAGACACGGAAGCCAGUGCUGGGCACAGCCAGGCUGGAGUGAAGACAGGGGAGGGGCAGCAGACAGAGAGGGACCAACAAGUGAGCUGAAGGCAAACCCAGUGCCCCCACUCCCCACACCACAUCGCGGGCGGGUGGCACCUCCCUGCCCCACGCUUGUCCUGACUCCCAGUGCUAGCGCCUCCAUUUCCCUUUGGGGGCCUCUAUUCUCUGCUCUCAGGCUGUGGGGCUUUGGGUGGGCUCACCCACCUCACCCAGGGGCUGCUGGAGCACCCAGGCCUGGCCAGUCAGACCGUCCCCUUGGCCUCAAGGCCUUUGCCGAAGCUUACGGGAAAGUGUGGUUGCUCUACUGGCAGAAGUAGACGUCCAGCUGCUGAUCGAAAGGGCACGCGGAUUUGAUCCCUGGUCGGGAAACUAAGAUCCCACGUGCCACGGGGCAACUAAGCCUGCACACCGCAACUACUAAGCCUGCGAGCCACAACUAGAGAGAAACCGACGCACCGCAACGGAAGAUCCCGCAUGCCGCAACUAAGACCCAACGCAGCCAAAUAAAUAAAUAAAUAUAAAAUUUUUUUUAAAAAAAGGAAAAAAAGAAACCUGCCAGAGUAUUUGCACCAAGUGUCUGGAUCCAACAUUGCCUGAAGCAAGCCCACCCCUGGACUUCAAAGGCACAGGGGCCAGGAAAGCCCCUCUGUGCAGACACUGGGACACCAGCUGUCUGACCAUUGCAACUCAGAGGCCCACCCAGCGCGUGGCCUGCCGGCCCCGCUGACCUUGCCAACUCCACCUCCCACCCUUCCACCCUGACUCCUUCCCUUUCCUAGAACCCCCAGGUCACUCCCUCUGCCUGACAUCCCCUCCCUGAAGACCUGAGCAUCUUCCCCCAGCCCCACCCGCCCCCCACCCUGGCUGGGGUCCAGAGGCCCGCCCCCUUCCCCAGCUGUGGACUGUGGACACAGACUGAACCCCAGGGCUCAGCUUCCUGCAAGGGGCCAGCAAGGUGAGGCAGAGACCACAAGGAAGGAGAAACCAUUUCUGUGCAACAAAAACGUGGUUCCCUGGGUCUCCUGUUGGGUGAGCAAGCGGGCACUCGACGUUGGGAGGUCCAGCUGCGGCUGGCCCUGAGCAUGGGGCGGGCAAGGAGGGGAGAGGCCUCCAUCCAGCUCCCGCAGGCCCGGCUAGGACACACUUCCCUGUCUGAAGGGCCACUUUCCGGAGGUCACCAGCUGUGUGGUUAUUUCCUGGACGUUUUCUUUAAAUCCCUUUACAGGAAACAUCAUAUCACAACCACAAAUAAAAGAAAAGUCAAUGUCAGACGGUGUUGGCUUCUGGGCUUCCUGCUUGGAGGCUUCAGACUGUCAAAGUGUGUCCGCAGAAGCCUCCAUGGCCUUCACCCUCUCCAAACCCCGCCUGCCGCCCGAGCCCAGCAGGCUGCUGGCCGCCCCCGGCAUCCCUGUAGCCCCCCCGACUCGGAGAGGGGGCGUACAGGUGACUUCACCCAGGUGGCAUCUCACUGGCGGGGGUCCGGGCUCCAGGACCUGUGGGAAAUGGUUCUGCCCAGCAGGGGAGGUUGGACCAGCCUGAAGCGACAACAGCAACUUCCAGGGAACCCCCUGCCUCCAGACAAGGUGAUCCCCCCAGCCCAUCUGGGCUGGGAGAAAGAAGCUGGUGUUGGGCCGCUCGGACCCUGAGCACGGAGGUUACGGGGACACGCGGGUGAUCACUGUGUGGGUUGUUUGAAAAGGAGAGGCUUCGGGGUGGCAGCUCAUUCUCGGCCCCUCCCGGCGGC
This is a long non-coding RNA of Lagenorhynchus albirostris (white-beaked dolphin), 3714 nucleotides long. RefSeq lists it as uncharacterized. Lineage: Eukaryota; Metazoa; Chordata; Mammalia; Artiodactyla; Delphinidae. The transcript is spliced from 4 exons. The record is from RefSeq and is a predicted model, not a curated record.